This 454-nucleotide ribosomal RNA is filed under the name uncultured bacterium. Its description in RNAcentral is "bacterial SSU rRNA". It matches the Rfam family "Bacterial small subunit ribosomal RNA", at positions 74 to 524 of the family's 1533-position model. The record is from RNAcentral.
GGUAACAGGUUAAGCUGACGAGUGGCGAACGGGUGAGUAAUAUAUCGGAACGUGCCCAGUCGUGGGGGAUAACUGCUCGAAAGAGCAGCUAAUACCGCAUACGACCUGAGGGUGAAAGCGGGGGAUCGCAAGACCUCGCGCGAUUGGAGCGGCCGAUAUCAGAUUAGGUAGUUGGUGGGGUAAAAGCCUACCAAGCCUACGAUCUGUAGCUGGUCUGAGAGGACGACCAGCCACACUGGGACUGAGACACGGCCCAGACUCCUACGGGAGGCAGCAGUGGGGAAUUUUGGACAAUGGACGCAAGUCUGAUCCAGCCAUGCCGCGUGCGGGAAGAAGGCCUUCGGGUUGUAAACCGCUUUUGUCAGGGAAGAAAAGGUUCUGGAUAAUACCUGGGACUCAUGACGGUACCUGAAGAAUAAGCACCGGCUAACUACGUGCCAGCAGCCGCGGUAAU